AAGCAAUUGAUGAAAGGUACUGAUGUGUACAAAAAUUAUAGCCCGACCCCGAACUAUCAAGCAUGGCCCGAGGUCAAUACCUCGACCACUCUCGUCUUCAAAUAUCCUCUAAAAAGUGGUCGGGCCUCUUCGAAGUCGGACCUAAUAAUCUGGCCCUACUAAGGUCAGGCCCACAUGCCAAAAUAUUAUCCUCGUCUCGAGCUUUUUACGUGUUUUAGUCCUCUUAUAACUCAAUUACUCUAUCUGAUGAGGAUAAGGACUCUAAAUGGUUGAAUCCUUCUACAGCUCAACCACCAACGUCUAUAAAUACAAGACCUAGCGCCAUUAUUCAGGUAUGUUUUUACAAUACAUACUUUUACAUAAUUUCCCCAUCUGCCUUUGUUUCAGGUACUGAAAGGUUCCGUUCGUGCUCGAUCUCAGUCCUCAUCUCGAGAAAUCAACAGGUACAAUUUUUUGCAUCAUCAGUGGCGCUGUCUGUGGGAAGCGAUACAUUAACCAUGUUUUUACCACAUUCAAAAAGUCACCGGAAGGACAAUAAUUUCAGACAGUUCCUCAACCAAGAAGCUCGAAGAGAUGUUUCUGCCUUCCGAAUGAUUUCAAAGUCCAACGUAGACAAAAAAGAUGUAUAGAUCAAAUUAAAAUAGGGCCGAAUUCAAAAACCCAGUUCUCAGAUCCGAUCUUCUCGCUUCUGAUCUCCUUUUGAACAAACUCCAUAAUGAAGAAAGAUCACUCCAAUAAGCAUCAAUGGAACUCAUAAUUCAUCGGGAUACUUCCAACAUCAGUUUACUGUUUAUCUACACGAUUGCCGACGGUAGUGUCAUUCCGAUCAGCAUGUGCAAAUCAUUCAUCCCUGCCUCCAAAGUUCUUGUGCAAACCCGAUCAUCUUCGUUGCAUAAUAAAGCCAUCGUCAAAACGAGGUGUUUUCUUCAUUUGUAACAUUCGGUUCAAUUUCCGUCCUCUCUUUUCUCUCUUCAUUAUCGCUCCUAACACGAAAGAUAAUACGGGUUUCAUUUCACAAUUGGAGUUUAUUGUGAAAAUCCUCGAUUCCCAUCUCUCUGUUGGCUUUUGGAGAAGAAUUUUCGUUGUUUUUCAUGCAAAACAAAAAGGACCCAAGUGGAAUAACCAUUGGAGAACCGUGUAUCAUCUUCUGCAACUCCAAUUUGUCGAUCUGGGAAUAUAUGCCAAAAUUCAACAUGUUUUGAAUAGUGAAUUGGGCCAAAAUUUUACAUAAAUUGAGCCCAAGAAUUCAAGUAAAAAUGCCUAUUCAAUGUUGGGCUGCACUAAUUUUUUUGGGCCUACUAACUUUUCAACCUACCUAAAGAUUUUGGGCCUAUUGUCUGCCUCAAUAUUGGUUUUGCCUUCCCUAAGGGUGUCAACGAGUCGAGUCCGGCUCUCGAGCCCAAACUUCCGACUCGGGCUUUAUCAAGACGGGUUUUUUUUUGCCCGAACCUCAACAAAAAAAGGCUUGACCCAAGCUUUCGGCUCGGGCCUUUUCGAGUUGAGUCGAGCCGAGGCAAGCUCAGUUUUUUUUUCUUUUCCCAAUGGCUGCAUCACGACAAACUCCACGGAGCCUGAAAGAGAUUCACAAUCAAACUCUUCUGUUUAUUUGUUUGUCAUUUUUCUAUUAAUAUUUUAUUAUUUUAGAUAUUAUCUUUAAAUAGAUGUUUCAGUAUAAUCAAAUUUAUUUUUCAUUAAAAGUUUGACAUGUUCC
This 1711-nucleotide long non-coding RNA is filed under the name Olea europaea subsp. europaea. The record is from RNAcentral. Lineage: Eukaryota; Viridiplantae; Streptophyta; Magnoliopsida; Lamiales; Oleaceae.